UACGAAGGGGGCUAGCGUUGCUCGGAAUGACUGGGCGUAAAGGGCGCGUAGGCGGUGCAUUUGGUCAGGCGUGAAAGCCCGGGGCUCAACCCCGGGAGGCGGGUGGAUACUGUCAAGCUCGAGUCCGGAAGAGGCGAGUGGAAUUCCUGGUGUAGCGGUGAAAUGCGCAGAUAUCAGGAGGAACACCAAUGGCGAAGGCAGCUCGCUGGGACGUGACUGACGCUGAGACGCGAAAGCGUGGGGAGCAAACAGG
This 253-nucleotide ribosomal RNA is filed under the name uncultured bacterium. RNAcentral describes it as "partial 16S ribosomal RNA". It matches the Rfam family "Bacterial small subunit ribosomal RNA", at positions 524 to 776 of the family's 1533-position model. The record is from RNAcentral.